Long non-coding RNA from Gallus gallus (chicken), 497 nucleotides. Lineage: Eukaryota; Metazoa; Chordata; Aves; Galliformes; Phasianidae. The record is from Ensembl.
GUGCAUUUUUUCAAGGAGAAAAUGCGUGAUAUUCGGGAAAAAACUUGUGUUUCCGGACGAACAAUGCGUGAUUUUCGUUAGAAAAGUGGAAUUUUCCAGUAGACAAUGCGUGAUAUUCGUGUGAAAUGGGGUUCCUUCAGGCAGAAAACGCGUGAUUUUAGGGUGAAAGGUAAUAUGUUCAGGGAGAAAAUGUGUGAUUUUCCUUUGAAACGUAGAAUUUUCGGGAAAAAAAUGCGUGGUUCUUGGGUGAAAUGGGGUUGCUUCGCGCAGAAAAUGCGUGAUUUUCGGGUGAAACGUGUUGUAUUUUCGGAGAGAAAAUGCGUGAUUUUGGGGUGAAAGGUGGUAUUUUCGAGGAGAAAACGCGUGAUUUCUAUUUAAAAAGUGGUAUUUUUGGGAGGAAAAUGCGUGGUUUUUGGGUGAAAUGCGGUAUUUUUGAAGUGAACAUACGUGAUUCUAGUGCGAAAAAUGGUAUUUUUAUGGUAAAAAUGUGUGUUUAG